CUGGGCCUGCGCUACUUGCGCGGCUCCAACCAAUACACAGUGUGUUAUACUUCUCUUGCUUUGGCUCUGCCAAAGGUUUUAAACACAGAAAUUUAUUUUCUUUAAGAACAGUCAAUUUGAAUUUUAAUCUUCAAAACUUUCAACAACGGAUCUCUUGGUUCUCGCAACGAUGAAGAACGCAGCGAAAUGCGAUACGUAAUGUGAAUUGCAGGUUUUCGUGAAUCAUCGAAUCUUUGAACGCAUAUUGCGCUCUCUGGCAUUCCAGAGAGCAUGCCUGUUUGAGCGUCAUUUCUCUCUCAAGAUCCUCUAGGGGACUUGGUAUUGGGUGAUACUCUCUAGUUAACUUGAAAUACUCUAGGCAGAGCUCCCCCUAGAAAUCCUCUGGGCCGAAAUAAUGUAUUAGGUUCUACCAACUCGUUAUUUUCCAGACAGACUUCCAGGCAGAGCUCGGCUGAACAACCUUUCUAAGCUUGACCUCAAAUCAGGUAGGACUACCCGCUGAACUUAA
This 508-nucleotide ribosomal RNA is filed under the name Williopsis jadinii. Its description in RNAcentral is "eukaryotic LSU rRNA". The stretch from base 135 to 288 matches the Rfam family "5.8S ribosomal RNA". The record is from RNAcentral. RNAcentral also lists the same sequence under 1 other name. Lineage: Eukaryota; Fungi; Ascomycota; Saccharomycetes; Phaffomycetales; Wickerhamomycetaceae.